RNAcentral lists this ribosomal RNA (253 nucleotides) under uncultured bacterium. RNAcentral describes it as "partial 16S ribosomal RNA". It matches the Rfam family "Bacterial small subunit ribosomal RNA", at positions 524 to 776 of the family's 1533-position model. The record is from RNAcentral.
GACGUAGGGUGCAAGCGUUGUCCGGAUUUACUGGGCGUAAAGAGCUCGUAGGCGGUUUGUCGCGUCUGCUGUGAAAACCCGAGGCUCAACCUCGGGCCUGCAGUGGGUACGGGCAGACUAGAGUGCGGUAGGGGAGAGUGGAAUUCCUGGUGUAGCGGUGGAAUGCGCAGAUAUCAGGAGGAACACCAAUGGCGAAGGCAGAUCUCUGGGCCGUAACUGACGCUGAGGAGCGAAAGCAUGGGGAGCGAACAGG